This is a long non-coding RNA of Cavia porcellus (domestic guinea pig), 1445 nucleotides long. RefSeq lists it as uncharacterized. The transcript has 3 exons. Lineage: Eukaryota; Metazoa; Chordata; Mammalia; Rodentia; Caviidae. The record is from RefSeq and is a predicted model, not a curated record.
GCUCUGGAGGGAAAGUUAGGACUAGGACGGCCACACUGCUGUUGACAGGAAAGAGAGGAGCAAAUGCUGAGCUGAGCUGAGACACUGACAUCUGAUACUGAAUGGAAAAACAACAGAUGAUGGCAAUUCUGUGAGGACAAGGAACAGGAGAGGGGAGAGAACCACAGAAGUCUUCUUAGGUGUGAACAGGAAGAGAUAAUCUCGAGUUUGCCAAAUCAAAAACCCAGCUCAUAUAUUGGGUGCCAGGCCACAAACACUGUGAUCUGCUUCUAAGAGAGUUACAGUUCCACAAAGCAGCCUUCAGAAAGACAGGAAAGAAAGCUGUGUACCACUGGAGACCCUUCCCAUGGUGCCAGUUACUGGGGAUCCCUGCAGUGAGUUCUCAGUCUCCUGGAAAGUGUUAUGGUGCACUUGGGAAGAAAAGAAAAGAUUAAGGACUUAAAAUGAUUGGAGUCCAGAGAAACAAUAGGCACAAAAGUCCAUUUUGCAGAUUAGGUAUCUGAGUUUUGGAGGAACGUGUGUUCUUCACAGGGCAGUGCCUGGAUCUCUCUGGCCUUGUGGGGAAGUUCAGCACGAAGCACGACUCAGGAAAUCAUGUAUCUUGAAUCUCUGGCCAGCGUCCUUCCAGAAGUAGGGCUGUCAAUUAACGAGCCUUUAAAAAGAAGAAGAAACUGGAAACCGAGCAGGGUUUAGGGCCGAUUUGUCCCAGUGGCUGUUGGUGUGUUUUCAAAUGUGGAAAUUUCCAGUUUGAAGGGUUUUAAUAUUUCCUAGACUUUCUAGUUGAAAUAUGGUUUCUUCCUUUCUAAACAUCAAAGGAUGCCAUCGCCACCCUUUCAUGUCAUUUAGAAGGAAACCAGAGAAGUAAAUUUUUGGAAAUAUUUUCAUCAGUGUUUGAAGGACUUGGACAGCAGCAAAUUGUAGUUCUUCCUGAGAAAUAUUUGCUUCUGUUUUUUAUGUCCAAAUAGUCAUUUAUUUGGAUGCAACGCAAGCGUUGAGACUGCGGCGAGAUCUUGAUGCCGCCCAGACAAACUUCUCAGUUUAGUAACAAGCCAAAUUCACAAACAUCGGUUCCUUGCCUUUGAAAUGAUGUUUAUAAAAAUAUUUUAUGAUUUAUUCCAGAAACCUUCAAUUUAGUGGUUGGGCAGUUUCAACCUCCUCACCAGAAAACUCAAAUGAAGAGAUCUACUAGAAUUUUAGCUUUAUAGUUGUGAUAGAAAUAUUCAGAGAACGGCCUAUAAAUAAACAGACAUGAGAGACUUUGGGCCAUCAAGAUUUUAUUCUCAGGUUUAUGUUUCUUUCUCCGUCACAUCAACCUAUGGCAUGUGGCUGAAGUAUGCACUUGUGACAAACUUCUAGCAAGUAAACAUGAGGAAUGGAAAGGUCUUAGCAGCUUAGUUGUUUUGUUGUUGUUUUGGUAAGUAUCAAGGAAUAGCUCUUCCUUCUGG